GACGAACGCUGGCGGCGUGCUUAACACAUGCAAGUCGAACGGAAAGGCCCUGCUUUUGUGGGGUGCUCGAGUGGCGAACGGGUGAGUAACACGUGAGUAACCUGCCCUUGACUUUGGGAUAACUUCAGGAAACUGGGGCUAAUACCGGAUAGGAGCUCCUGCUGCAUGGUGGGGGUUGGAAAGUUUCGGCGGUUGGGGAUGGACUCGCGGCUUAUCAGCUUGUUGGUGGGGUAGUGGCUUACCAAGGCUUUGACGGGUAGCCGGCCUGAUAGGGGGACCGGCCACAUUGGGACUGGGAUACGGCCCAGACUCCUACGGGAGGCAGCAGUGGGGAAUAUUGCACAAUGGGCGGACGCCUGAUGCAGCAACGCCGCGUGCGGGAUGACGGCCUUCGGGUUGUAAACCGCUUUCGCCUGUGACGAAGCGUGAGUGACGGUAAUGGGUAAAGAAGCACCGGCUAACUACGUG
This 468-nucleotide ribosomal RNA is filed under the name uncultured bacterium. Its description in RNAcentral is "partial 16S ribosomal RNA". It matches the Rfam family "Bacterial small subunit ribosomal RNA", at positions 28 to 507 of the family's 1533-position model. The record is from RNAcentral.